AGUGAACGCUGGCGGCGUGCUUAACACAUGCAAGUCGAACGAGAACGGAAUAUAGCUUGCUAUAUUUGUCAGCUAAGUGGCGCACGGGUGAGUAAUGUAUAGAUAACCUGCCCUUAAGAAAGGAAUAACAGUUGGAAACGACUGCUAAUGCCCUAUAUGCCUUUAAUACAUAAGUAUGCAAGGGAAACGCUUUAGUGCUUAAGGAUGGGUCUGUAUGGUAUCAGCUUGUUGGUGAGGUAAUGGCUCACCAAGGCUAUGACGCCUAACUGGUUUGGGAGGAUGAUCAGUCACACUGGAACUGAGACACGGUCCAGACUGCUACGGGAGGCAGCAGUGGGGAAUAAUGCACAAUGGACGAAAGUCUGAUGCAGCAACGCCGCGUGGAGGAUGACACAUUUCGGUGCGUAAACUCCUUUUAUAUAGGAAGAUAAUGACGGUACUAUAUGAAUAAGCACCGGCUAACUCCGUGCCAGCCGCCGCCGUAA
This 485-nucleotide ribosomal RNA is filed under the name uncultured bacterium. Its description in RNAcentral is "partial 16S ribosomal RNA". It matches the Rfam family "Bacterial small subunit ribosomal RNA", at positions 29 to 523 of the family's 1533-position model. The record is from RNAcentral.